GCAUCGUUGGUGUUAGUGGUAGCACAGUUGGUUGCCAUCCAGCAGGCACGAGUUCAAAUCUCGUACGAUGCUCCA
This 75-nucleotide transfer RNA is filed under the name marine sediment metagenome. RNAcentral describes it as "tRNA-Gly". It matches the Rfam family "tRNA". From Rfam's summary of the family: Transfer RNA (tRNA) molecules are approximately 80 nucleotides in length. Their secondary structure includes four short double-helical elements and three loops (D, anti-codon, and T loops). The record is from RNAcentral.